RNAcentral lists this long non-coding RNA (890 nucleotides) under Monodelphis domestica (gray short-tailed opossum). RNAcentral describes it as "lncRNA (ENSMODG00000045749.1)". Lineage: Eukaryota; Metazoa; Chordata; Mammalia; Didelphimorphia; Didelphidae. The record is from RNAcentral.
CUGGAUUGGCUGCCUGGGACCACACAGAAGAGUCGAGAAAGGCCCCUUCCCAUAAACAUCUCUGCCCUGGGCAAUAAGCCUCCUGAUGGGGAGGUUGAUGGAAUAGCAGGAUUAGAGCAGCCAGCCAAGCCUUCUCUGGUCCUGGUGCCAGAGAAAUGGGGGGCUACCCCUCUAUCUUGUCUGCAGUGGCCCUCUCACUUGUGGAAACACAUCUCCAAGGUAGGACAAGUUGGCUGUGGAUGGGCAGACCUUUAUGGCCUCCCAGUAGGCCUGACUCCCACACAAGUUUCCUUUUCAAAGUUCUGUAGCUUAGGAGAAAGGCCCUUGGAGUGAGGGGACUUGAGCUCCAGGCCAGAUGCUACCACCCACCUAGCAGCCCAGCCCGAGAGCCAGGGAAGAGCAAAAAGGCCAUUUUGUCUCAAAUAUUGAGUAGACCAAGGGGAAUCAGCAUGAAUUAAGCCUGGAGAGGUGGCCAACAUCAAGCCAUGCUGUGAAAUGCCAAGAAGAGACUGUUUUAUUUUGUCACCAGCCCACUGAAGAUCGAGGAGGAGCAAAACGAUGUAUUUGAGGACAUCUGCUCAUCUGAAUGAGCUCAGUCUCUCACUUGAGAGAUGAUGGAACCGAAUCCCAGAAACAGGAAGGGCUUUGUCCACAGUUACUCAGGCCAACUGAAGAGUGUCCUAUAUUAUGUCAUCCAGAAAAUGUUGUCAUUGUGAACUUGUCUCCUCCCAUCCUUGGGAUCUGCCAUGGAAACUUCACCCCCAAAGGAUCUGAGGCUUCUGAGCAAAGCUUUGAAUCUUGGGUGUAUUUGGAGAAGGAUGGUAGGGAUUGCAAAUAAAUGAUGUAAUGAUUUCAGCACUGAGAGUAUUGUUUUCUUGCUGCAUCUAAAG